This is a small nuclear RNA of Pteronotus mesoamericanus, 106 nucleotides long. Lineage: Eukaryota; Metazoa; Chordata; Mammalia; Chiroptera; Mormoopidae. The record is from RefSeq and is a predicted model, not a curated record.
GUGUUCGCUUUGGCAGCACAUAUACUAAAAUUGGAAUGACACAGAGACGAUUAACAUGGCUUUGUGCAAAAAUGAUGAGCAAAUUCAUAAAGCAUUCCAUAUUUUU